CAGCAGGCGCGAAAACUCUACAAUGCAGGCAACUGCGAUAGGGGAACAUCGAGUGAUCCUCAUAUUGGGGGUCUGUCCCACCGUCUAAAAAACGGUGGUUAGCAAGGGCCGGGCAAGACCGGUGCCAGCCGCCGCGGUAAUACCGGCGGCUCGAGUGGUGGCCGAUAUUAUUGAGUCUAAAGGGUCCGUAGCCGGCUUUGCAAGUCUCUCGGGAAAUCCAGCGGCUUAACCGUUGGUCGUCCGGGGGGUACUACAUUGCUUGGGACUGGGAGAGGUAGGAGGUACUCAGGGGGUAGGAGUGAAAUCCUGUAAUCCUCUGGGGACCACCGGUGGCGAAGGCGUCCUACCAGAACAGGUCCGACGGUGAGGGACGAAAGCUAGGGGCACGAACCGGAUUAGAUACCCGGGUAGUCCUAGCCGUAAACGAUGCUCGCUAGGUGUCACAACAGUCGUGAACUGUUGUGGUGCCGUAGGGAAGCCGUGAAGCGAGCCACUUGGGAAGUACGACCGCAAGGUUGAAGCUUAAAGGAAUCGGCGGGG
This 540-nucleotide ribosomal RNA is filed under the name uncultured archaeon. RNAcentral describes it as "bacterial SSU rRNA". It matches the Rfam family "Archaeal small subunit ribosomal RNA", at positions 333 to 873 of the family's 1478-position model. The record is from RNAcentral.